GCGGACGUGGCGGAACUGGUAGACGCGCAGCCUUGAGGAGGCUGUGGGAGCAAUCUCGUGGAGGUUCAAGUCCUCUCGUCCGCACCA
This 87-nucleotide transfer RNA is filed under the name Candidatus Woykebacteria bacterium RBG_16_43_9. RNAcentral describes it as "tRNA-Leu". It matches the Rfam family "tRNA". Rfam says of the family: Transfer RNA (tRNA) molecules are approximately 80 nucleotides in length. Their secondary structure includes four short double-helical elements and three loops (D, anti-codon, and T loops). Further hydrogen bonds mediate the characteristic L-shaped molecular structure. tRNAs have two regions of fundamental functional importance: the anti-codon, which is responsible for specific mRNA codon recognition, and the 3' end, to which the tRNAs corresponding amino acid is attached (by aminoacyl-tRNA synthetases). tRNAs cope with the degeneracy of the genetic code in two manners: having more than one tRNA (with a specific anti-codon) for a particular amino acid; and 'wobble' base-pairing, i.e. permitting non-standard base-pairing at the 3rd anti-codon position. Lineage: Bacteria; Candidatus Woykeibacteriota. The record is from RNAcentral.